This 460-nucleotide ribosomal RNA is filed under the name uncultured bacterium. Its description in RNAcentral is "partial 16S ribosomal RNA". It matches the Rfam family "Bacterial small subunit ribosomal RNA", at positions 338 to 795 of the family's 1533-position model. The record is from RNAcentral.
CCUACGGGAGGCAGCAGUGAGGAAUAUUGGUCAAUGGACGAGCGUCUGAACCAGCCAAGUAGCGUGAAGGAUGACUGCCCUAUGGGUUGUAAACUUCUUUUAUAUGGGAAUAAAAUGUUCCACGUGUGGGAUUUUGUAUGUACCAUAUGAAUAAGGAUCGGCUAACUCCGUGCCAGCAGCCGCGGUAAUACGGAGGAUCCGAGCGUUAUCCGGAUUUAUUGGGUUUAAAGGGAGCGUAGGUGGAUUGUUAAGUCAGUUGUGAAAGUUUGCGGCUCAACCGUAAAAUUGCAGUUGAAACUGGCAGUCUUGAGUACAGUAGAGGUGGGCGGAAUGCGUGGGGUAGCGGUGAAAUGCUUAGAUAUCACGAAGAACUCCGAUUGCGAAGGCAGUUCACUGGACUGCAACUGACACUGAGGCUCGAAAGUGUGGGUAUCAAACAGGAUUAGAUACCCCAGUAGUC